GCCGGGGCUUCUUAGUCAGGUACAGUCACUAUCUUCCCUGCUGAUAGAAGUUUACGAUCCGAAAACCUUCAUCCUUCACGCGGCGUCGCUGCAUCAGGGUUUCCCCCAUUGUGCAAUAUUCCCC
This 124-nucleotide ribosomal RNA is filed under the name uncultured bacterium. RNAcentral describes it as "partial 16S ribosomal RNA". The record is from RNAcentral.